Molecule: long non-coding RNA, 835 nt
Organism: Hyla sarda
Lineage: Eukaryota; Metazoa; Chordata; Amphibia; Anura; Hylidae
Exons: 3
Source: RefSeq, a predicted model, not a curated record
AUCGCGGGGGUCCCUGCAAUCUCCCUGCUGCACCAGAGGCUUGUGACGUCACGGUCAUGCCCCCUCCCAUAGACUUGCAUUGAGGGGGCGUGGCUGUAAUGUCAAAAGUGGGGCGUGAUUGUGAUGUCACGAGUCUCCACCCCGCAUCGCCAGUCAUCCGGCACGGAGCGAAGUUCUCUCCAUGCACCGGAUGUCUGGGGUGCCGCAGCCGAGAUCACAGGGGUCCCCAGCGGCGGGACCCCAGCGAUCAGACAUCUUAUCCCCUGUCCUUUGGAUAGGGGAUAAGAUGUCUAGGGGCGGAGUACCCCUUUAACAUCAGCACAAAAAGCGUGCCUCACCAAGAGCUUCAUGGUUUUCAAUGGCCGAGCAGCUGUAUGCUAGCCGUAUAUAAUCAAGCCCAAUGCCAUGCGUUGCAUGGAAUGGUAUAAUGCCCAACCCAACUGGACACUGGAGACGUAAUCUGUGGAGUAAUGGAUCACACUUCUCUAUCUGGCGUCUGAUGGAGGAGUCUAGGUUUGGAGACCAAACUCAGCAAGCGUGGGGAAUGGCAAGGCACAGGUCUCGUAAGCUUCAGUGAUGUCACGCCUGCUGGGGAACGCCCACUUUCUUCUGGCAGGAGCUCACACAAUGUGAACAGGGGGAAAGGUUCAGCAAACACACGUGGAGAAGCUUCUGUGCUGUCCCAGAGUCAAAAACUGAUCGCUCCAACAACACACAUGCAGGGUGCAAGAGCAGACAGAUGGGAGAAGGUACACGUGUGAGGUCUGGGCCGUGUCAUGACACACAGGUUGUUUGUAUGUAGCUCUCUGGUGAUAAAGUGGUGGAAGCCCAGAGA